CCCCUAGAUGUUCUGGGCCGCACGCGCGCUACACUGAUUCAUGCAACAAGUUUUGUCCUUGGCUGAUAGGCCUGGGUAAUCUUUGAACGUGAAUCGUGAUGGGGAUAGAUGAUUGCAAUUAUUCAUCUUCAACGAGGAAUUCCUAGUAAACGCAAGUCAUCAGCUUGCAUUGAUUACGUCCCUGCCCUUUGUACACACCGCCCGUCGCACCUACCGAUUGAAUGGUCCGGUGAAAUCUUCGGAUCUGAGAGAUGUCUGAUUAAUUUCGGACGCCUUUUGGAAGAGUUGCUUAAACCUUACCAUUUAGAGGAAGGUGAAGUCGUAACA
RNAcentral lists this ribosomal RNA (327 nucleotides) under uncultured eukaryote. RNAcentral's name for it is "partial 18S ribosomal RNA". It matches the Rfam family "Eukaryotic small subunit ribosomal RNA", at positions 1470 to 1796 of the family's 1831-position model. The record is from RNAcentral.